RNAcentral lists this ribosomal RNA (253 nucleotides) under uncultured bacterium. RNAcentral's name for it is "partial 16S ribosomal RNA". It matches the Rfam family "Bacterial small subunit ribosomal RNA", at positions 524 to 776 of the family's 1533-position model. The record is from RNAcentral.
GACAGAGGCCUCAAGCGUUAGGCGGAAUCACUGGGCUUAAAGCGUGUGUAGGCGGAUGCCUAAGUACCUUGUGAAAUCCCACGGCUCACCCGUGGAACUGCUGGGUAUACUGGGUGUCUUGGGCCGAUCAGGGGCAGCUGGAACAAGCGGUGGAGCGGUGAAAUGCGUAGAUAUCGCUUGGAACGCCAAAGGUGAAAACAGGCUGCUGGGGUUGUGCCGACGCUGAGACACGAAAGCCAGGGGAGCAAACGGG